Molecule: small RNA, 128 nt
Filed under: Marmota monax (woodchuck)
Lineage: Eukaryota; Metazoa; Chordata; Mammalia; Rodentia; Sciuridae
Source: RNAcentral
GCCGGGCAUGGUGGCGCACGCCUGUCAUCCCAGUGGCUCGGGAGGCUGAGGCAGGAGGAUCUCGAGGUCAGAGCCAGCCUCGGCAACUUAGCGAGGUCCCAAAGCAACUCAGUGAGACCCUGCCUCUA